GAACGCUGGCGGCAUGCCUAACACAUGCAAGUCGAACGGGACUAGAGUAGCAAUACUUUAGUUUAGUGGCGGACGGGUGAGUAACACGUAGGAAUCUGCCCUAAAGUGGGGGACAACCCAGGGAAACCUGGGCUAAUACCGCAUAUGCCCUACGGGGUAAAGGAGGCGCAAGCUUUCGCUUUAGGAUGAGCCUGCGGCGGAUUAGCUAGUUGGUAGGGUAAAGGCCUACCAAGGCAACGAUCUGUAGCUGGUCUGAGAGGACGAUCAGCCACACUGGGACUGAGACACGGCCCAGACUCCUACGGGAGGCAGCAGUGGGGAAUAUUGGACAAUGGGGGAAACCCUGAUCCAGCAAUGCCGCGUGUGUGAAGAAGGC
RNAcentral lists this ribosomal RNA (376 nucleotides) under uncultured bacterium. RNAcentral describes it as "bacterial SSU rRNA". It matches the Rfam family "Bacterial small subunit ribosomal RNA", at positions 31 to 415 of the family's 1533-position model. The record is from RNAcentral.